GUAGGUGGCAAGCGUUGUCCGGAAUUAUUGGGCGUAAAGCGCGCGCAGGCGGUUCUUUAAGUCUGAUGUGAAAGCCCGCGGCUCAACCGUGGAGGGUCAUUGGAAACUGGAGAACUUGAGUACAGAAGAGGAAAGCGGAAUUCCACGUGUAGCGGUGAAAUGCGUAGAGAUGUGGAGGAACACCAGUGGCGAAGGCGGCUUUCUGGUCUGUAACUGACGCUGAGGCGCGAAAGCGUGGGGAGCAAACAGGGAUUAGAUACCCUGGUAGUCCACGCCGUAAACGAUGAGUGCUAAGUGUUAGGGGGGUUUCCGCCCCCUUAGUGCUGCAGCUAACGCAUUAAGCACUCCGCCUGGGGAGUACGGCCGCAAGGCUG
Molecule: ribosomal RNA, 374 nt
Filed under: uncultured organism
Description: partial 16S ribosomal RNA
Rfam family: Bacterial small subunit ribosomal RNA
Source: RNAcentral